GACGAACGCUGGCGGCGUGCUUAACACAUGCAAGUCGAGCGGUAAGGCCUCUUCGGAGGUACACGAGCGGCGAACGGGUGAGUAACACGUGAGCAACCUACCCAUCACAUCGGGAUAACCCCCGGAAACGGGAGCUAAUACCGAAUACGACCACUUCAGACAUCUGACGGUGGUGGAAAGCUCUGGCGGUGGUGGAUGGGCUCGCGGCCUAUCAGCUUGUUGGUGGGGUAACGGCCUACCAAGGCUUCGACGGGUAGCCGGCCUGAGAGGGUGACCGGCCACACUGGGACUGAGACACGGCCCAGACUCCUACGGGAGGCAGCAGUGGGGAAUAUUGGACAAUGGGCGAAAGCCUGAUCCAGCAACGCCGCGUGAGGGAUGACGGCCUUCGGGUUGUAAACCUCUUUCAGCAGGGACGAAGCGCAAGUGACGGUACCUGCAGAAGAAGCACCGGCCAACUACGUGCCAGCCGCCGCAGUAA
Molecule: ribosomal RNA, 481 nt
Filed under: uncultured bacterium
Lineage: Bacteria
Description: partial 16S ribosomal RNA
Rfam family: Bacterial small subunit ribosomal RNA
Source: RNAcentral